RNAcentral lists this ribosomal RNA (497 nucleotides) under uncultured bacterium. Its description in RNAcentral is "partial 16S ribosomal RNA". It matches the Rfam family "Bacterial small subunit ribosomal RNA", at positions 28 to 507 of the family's 1533-position model. The record is from RNAcentral.
GAUGAACGCUGGCGGCGUGCCUAAUACAUGCAAGUCGAGCGAACGGACGAGAAGCUUGCUUCUCUGAUGUUAGCGGCGGACGGGUGAGUAACACGUGGAUAACCUACCUAUAAGACUGGGAUAACUUCGGGAAACCGGAGCUAAUACCGGAUAAUAUUUUGAACCGCAUGGUUCAAUAGUGAAAGGCGGUCUUGCUGUCACUUAUAGAUGGAUCCGCGCUGCAUUAGCUAGUUGGUAAGGUAACGGCUUACCAAGGCAACGAUGCAUAGCCGACCUGAGAGGGUGAUCGGCCACACUGGAACUGAGACACGGUCCAGACUCCUACGGGAGGCAGCAGUAGGGAAUCUACCGCAAUGGGCGAAAGCCUGACGGAGCAACGCCGCGUGAGUGAUGAAGGUCUUCGGAUCGUAAAACUCUGUUAUUAGGGAAGAACAUAUGUGUAAGUAACUGUGCACAUCUUGACGGUACCUAAUCAGAAAGCCACGGCUAACUACGUG